This 164-nucleotide ribosomal RNA is filed under the name Polyctenium fremontii. RNAcentral describes it as "5.8S ribosomal RNA". It matches the Rfam family "5.8S ribosomal RNA". From Rfam's summary of the family: 5.8S ribosomal RNA (5.8S rRNA) is a component of the large subunit of the eukaryotic ribosome. It is transcribed by RNA polymerase I as part of the 45S precursor that also contains 18S and 28S rRNA. Functionally, it is thought that 5.8S rRNA may be involved in ribosome translocation. The record is from RNAcentral. Lineage: Eukaryota; Viridiplantae; Streptophyta; Magnoliopsida; Brassicales; Brassicaceae. RNAcentral also lists the same sequence under 1 other name.
AAAACGACUCUCGGCAACGGAUAUCUCGGCUCUCGCAUCGAUGAAGAACGUAGCGAAAUGCGAUACUUGGUGUGAAUUGCAGAAUCCCGUGAACCAUCGAGUUUUUGAACGCAAGUUGCGCCCCAAGCCUUCUGGCCGAGGGCACGUCUGCCUGGGUGUCACAA